RNAcentral lists this ribosomal RNA (1372 nucleotides) under Onthophagus nitidior. RNAcentral describes it as "16S ribosomal RNA". The stretch from base 1099 to 1258 matches the Rfam family "Archaeal large subunit ribosomal RNA", at positions 2544 to 2703 of the family's 2987-position model. Lineage: Eukaryota; Metazoa; Arthropoda; Insecta; Coleoptera; Scarabaeidae. The record is from RNAcentral.
UAAAUCAAUUUAAUUUGAUAAUUAAUAAAUUUAUAUAAUUUUAUUUGUUAAAAAAGUUAUUUAAUAAAAAUAUUUUUUUUUUUUUAUUAAUUUAGAUAAAAUUAUAAUUUAUUAUAGUUAAUUAAGUAUAGAGAUAGAAAAUUUAAAUAAAUUUUGAAAAUUAAAAUUAUUAAAAGAAAAUUUAAUUUAUUGUACCUUGUGUAUCAGGGUUUAUUAAAUAAUGUUUAUAUAAAUUAAUUUUCUCGAAUUUAAAAGAGCUAAGAAAUUAUAAAUUUUAUUGUUGAAUAAAUAUUUAAAAUAGUUUUUUAGAAGUGAAACGUUAGUCGUUUUUAAAUUUAUCUAGUUUUUUAAGAAAUGAAUUUAAUUCAGUUAUUUAUUAUUAUAGGGAUAAUUUUUUAUUUAAUUAAAAUAAAUAAUUAAUAUUUUAAGGGAUAAGCUUUAAAAUAAAAUUUUAAAAAUAGUAUUUUAUUUUAUUAAAAUUUAUAGGAAUGGAAGUUUUUAUUAUUUAUUGUGUGUUAUAACAAAUUUUAAUUUAAAUAUAAUUUUUAUAUUAUUUUAAAUUUUUUAUUAAAAUAAUUAGUUUAAUUAAAAAAUUAAUGAAAUAAUGAUAAAAUUAGUAUAAUUUAAUGUUAUAAAAAUUAUGAAUUUUAGGUUAAAUUAAGGAAUUCGGCAAAUUAAAUUUUCCGCCUGUUUAUUAAAAACAUGUCUUUUUGAUUAUAAUAUAAAGUCUGACCUGCCCAAUGAUAUGUAAAUAUUAAAUGGCCGCGAUAAUUUGAUCGUGCAAAGGUAGCAUAAUAAUUAGUUUCUUAAUUGGGAACUGGAAUGAAAGGUCGAACGAGAAAAUGACUGUCUCAGUUUAAUUUAAAUUAGAAUUUUAUUUUUAAGUUAAAAAGCUUAAAUAAUUUUAAAAGACGAGAAGACCCUAUAGAGUUUUAUAUAUAUUUAUUUAUUUUUUAGUUUAAGAAUUUAAUUUUAGAAUUGAUAAUAAAAUAUUUAAUUGGGGUGAUUGAAAAAUUAAAUAAACUUUUUUUAUAGUUUAACAUUAAUUUAUGAUUAGUUGAUCCAUAUAUAAUGAUUAAAAGAUUAAAUUACCUUAGGGAUAACAGCGUAAUUUUUUUUGAGAGUUCAUAUCGAAAAAAUAGAUUGCGACCUCGAUGUUGGAUUAAAAUUAAUUUAUGGUGUAGAAGCUAUAUCAAUUAGGUCUGUUCGACCUUUAAAAUUUUACAUGAUCUGAGUUUAAACCGGUGUGAGCCAGGUUGGUUUCUAUCUUUAAUAAAAAAAAAUAUUUUAGUACGAAAGGAUCAAAUAUUUAUAAAAUUUAUUUUUAUUAGAAUAUUAUUAAGUUUUUAUUACUUUGGCAGAAUAGUGUUUU